GGAAAAAUAUGAACCAUUAUGGCUCAAAGGGGGAACACAUUGCGACUUAGAACUAUACCCCGAAUACAUUAGACAUCUGAAGAAGUUUGUAUCUACAGUUGAAAAACCACCUUCUCAGAGAAACUUAUCAAGAAAAAGCGUUGACAGGCCUGAACAAUCACGGAGGAGUACAGACUGUUAUGAAAUUCCAAGAAAAAGCAC
RNAcentral lists this unclassified non-coding RNA (201 nucleotides) under Hevea brasiliensis (rubber tree). Lineage: Eukaryota; Viridiplantae; Streptophyta; Magnoliopsida; Malpighiales; Euphorbiaceae. The record is from RNAcentral.